UACGUAGGUGGCAAGCGUUGUCCGGAAUUAUUGGGCGUAAAGCGCGCGCAGGCGGCUUCUUAAGUCUGAUGUGAAAUCUCGGGGCUCAACCCCGAGCGGCCAUUGGAAACUGGGAAGCUUGAGUACAGAAGAGGAGAGUGGAAUUCCACGUGUAGCGGUGAAAUGCGUAGAUAUGUGGAGGAACACCAGUGGCGAAGGCGACUCUCUGGUCUGUAACUGACGCUGAGGUGCGAAAGCGUGGGUAGCAAACAGG
Molecule: ribosomal RNA, 253 nt
Filed under: uncultured bacterium
Lineage: Bacteria
Description: partial 16S ribosomal RNA
Rfam family: Bacterial small subunit ribosomal RNA
Source: RNAcentral